CGUGGAAUCUCGCGGAAGACAU
RNAcentral lists this microRNA (22 nucleotides) under Glycine max (soybean). Its description in RNAcentral is "gma-miR5673". Lineage: Eukaryota; Viridiplantae; Streptophyta; Magnoliopsida; Fabales; Fabaceae. The record is from miRBase by way of RNAcentral.